Molecule: unclassified non-coding RNA, 272 nt
Filed under: Ascomycota sp.
Lineage: Eukaryota; Fungi; Ascomycota
Description: partial contains small subunit ribosomal RNA, internal transcribed spacer 1, and 5.8S ribosomal RNA
Rfam family: Eukaryotic small subunit ribosomal RNA (bases 1-47)
Source: RNAcentral
AAAGUCGUAACAAGGUUUCCGUAGGUGAACCUGCGGAAGGAUCAUUACCGAGUAUAGGGGCCUCCCUCGUGGAGGCCCCGAACUCCCACCCCGUGCUUACGUACCUCCGUUGCCUCGGCGGGCCCGCCUGGGGACUCCUCGCGAGUCCCCCGGGCAUCCGGCCCUCGCGCUGGACAGCGCCCGCCAGAGGACCAACCAAACCCGUUUUUACCGGCAGUCUGAGUAAUAUAACAAAUAAGUUAAAACUUUCAACAACGGAUCUCUUGGUUCUG